RNA transcript from Nylanderia fulva, 2439 nucleotides. RefSeq lists it as uncharacterized. The record is from RefSeq and is a predicted model, not a curated record. NCBI's taxonomy places the organism in Eukaryota, Metazoa, Arthropoda, Insecta, Hymenoptera, Formicidae.
UAAUUUACGGUUACUAGAUGAGUCGCAAAUAUAUAAUUUGACCAACCUCGAUGUAAAAGUCUAAACGCGUGUCGAUCGUGUCAUCGACGUAGUUCUUCAUACUUUGCAACUGCGCGAUUAUGCUUCUCAGACUACCCUGUUGAAUCCUGCGAGGAGGAGGUGCUCCUAAUUGGGAGAGGAUCAUGAAAGCGGCUUCUUCAAUGCUUCGAAGCAGCUCCAUUUCGGACCUGCCACCUUCCAGCCGUGUUAUCUUCCUACACGAUAACGAAAUGCAUAUAUAAUUGACAUGUGAUCCGUAUCAUCUGAUGUAAUACGAAGAAACAAAGGACCAGGACUCACUCGACGAUGCUCCGGUAAUGUUGCUCGAAACGGUCCGCGCUGACUAGGAGUUUGCUCGCGGCGGCGGUAGCCGCAGAAGACAUCAUCUUCAGGUCUCGCGCGUGGACCCCACCGGAAAAUCCGGCCAUCCGGAUUCGCGGUAGUGUCUUGCUCUGCAAGGUACUACUGCACUCAUCCACGGUUUCUAUUCGAAGAUCGGUCAGCCACGCUCUCAAGGACGACGAUUGACGAUAAUUACUGGAAUUCAGCACCUCCCUGCCGGCAGUGAUCGCAUCCGUCGUGGGAUCUGUACUAAGGGUUCGCGAUCUCGCUGAUGAAGAUGACAGCUGAACGCUGUCCUCCGGCGGUUCGGACGCGUACAGAAAAUCGCCCAGACAUUCGCUAUUCUCCAGCGAAACGGACACCUUCGACUCAUCGCUCCGCUCCUCGUUGAUUCUGGAAAAGGAAAAGAAAAUAAUGAGUUCUCGGACGUGUAGAACGAGGAAGCUCCCCGACAAAUAUCCCAGGACGACCUCGAGGUGAUGCGCCACCAGGGUGCAACGCUAUUUUACUUCCAACGGGGUGUUUUCACGACUCAGCGGAGCGAAACGACCCUCCCACGGCUUCGUGGUCGCGUGGCUGCUUGGAGAACCGUAUGGUGUCCGUCGCAACCCCCAUAGGUCUGCUGCUUAAUGGAGAUGCGACGUGAGGCCAUGUGAGACCUUUAUUUGACCUUCGAUCAGGCUGAUCCAGCCUCUCUAACAUGCAAAAUAAUCGAUCUAUGUGUGAAGGCCUCUGUUGCACAGUAGGAGGCGCAGGAAGACGCCUUUUAUUUUACUUGUCAAAGACGAUAAGUCUUGUCCUGGAAGACGAUCCGAGCAGCAUUGGCGUAACCAGGCUCGCGAAAGAAAUUCCAAGGAAGACCGAAAAGCUGGUAGGAAGAUGUUCACGAAAUCACGCCAAUGGUGUUUUUAAGGGCCAGGUGCGUGACUAUCGUUACCCCCGAUAUGUGCGCGAUCGAACGGGGGUCCGGCCCCCUCGGAAACGACUCUCUAUGCAUUUACCCUCUAUUCUCCCUUCCCAGAUACGCGAUGUGGAGGCACGCGCCGUUCGGGACAUCUGCGUCUCUAAAACGCCCGCCGCAAUGCGUCACGCACGUGAGUUGAUGAAUCACACGCAUUCGUGUCCGUGUUGAACUUUAAAGGAAUUUCGAGAAAUUUUUGGGCACGAAAAUCAGACAGGGAGAGAGUGUAAUUUUGAAUUUAUUGUUUAAUUAAGAGAGGCACAAUACUGAAAUUUGGAUCAAUCGAUGAAUCAUCAUUCAGUCGAGGACAUCGAUGCUGAGAUUUAAAUGGUUCAGAAAAGAGGGAGGGCAUUUAAACUUUCUAUUAUAAAAUCUUUUGCUUUGCCCAGAUAGCAAAAGUUAUUUUGAUGGCAAAAUGAUGCAUUUCGACAUCAAAAUGAUGUCAUAAUAAUUACUGUGGCUCUCUGGGUUGAUUCGACUUCAACUUUUAUUGAAGAUCAAAAAAUGGUGGUAUUUUGCGCUACUAGAAAGACGUAUAGUAUAUAGACAUAAGAAAUCGCGAAUUGUUGUUUGUACAUAUUUAUAAGCACUCGGUGAACGACACGUCAAGGAAAAACCUCGUUAACGAGCUUCGCUAAUUGACGAAGAUCGAGGCUAUCGAUAAGUAUAGGAAAUACCAAAGUCGCUAAUUGGAGAGGCAGUGAUGGCAUAAUCUCGACGUUAUUUCAGUGGUCAGAGAUUGCCAGGCCACGGUCGGUAUUCCUCUUCUUCAUUGUCUACGUGAAAUACGCGUACAUACGCACAUUCGACGAGGCCGCGCGUCUUGUAGAAGCGCAAAGGGGUCCUUGUACGACCCCUAUUGUACACGGAUAAGGGACAGAUGCGUACGAACCGUUACAUGAAAGCGCGUGCGCUGUCUACAUCUGUGGACGUUUGAAUUUCGAUGACAUUUCGAAUUUAGGGGGAACAUUGCACCGAUGAUUGAUUCCUGCAGGAAUAUGUUUAUCUCGAAAUGUUCAGGAUUCCAGAUUAUUCGAAAAUUAAAUCGCGAAACGUGUGAAAAUGUUCAAGUAAUCGAAAUAAAAUGUGUGAUUAUA